Long non-coding RNA from Vitis riparia (riverbank grape), 585 nucleotides. RefSeq lists it as uncharacterized. The record is from RefSeq and is a predicted model, not a curated record. Lineage: Eukaryota; Viridiplantae; Streptophyta; Magnoliopsida; Vitales; Vitaceae. The transcript has 3 exons.
AUUUUUUUGGUCAUUAAUUUUCACUUUCGGCCAAUCGCCUGACUCGCCACGUUACAGGAAUGCGGCGUUUUGGGCUGGUGCAUAAAAUUUUGGGGGCUGACGAAAGGAUCCAGGCUUUCCAGCCAGAGCGAAUUAGAGUUGCAGGUACGUGAAUUUACAGGCACACCAGGUGUUCGAGGCGACGCUUACGAGAAAGAAGAUGGUGGACGGUGUGCCUCUGCCACUCAGAGCCAUGGGUGCUGCAACUAGCUUCAUCUGUCACCAUGCAAACGCUUCGAGCAGCUGGCGACGCUAAAUGCAGGAAAAGGCUAUUACAUAUGCAAACUAUGCAAGAGGAACUCCACAAUCGAAUGGUCUCCUCUGUAUGAUUCUGUUGUUAUAAACCCUUGUAUUUGCCCUACUUGUGAUGGGAACAGGGUACAAUGAUGUCUCAACUGUUUGGGAAAGGGCUAUAAUUGACUUGUAAGAGGUGAAUUAUAUUAUUCAUAAGUUUCUGUAUUCCAUUCUAUUUGCUAAUUGCUGUUUAUUGGACUCAUACACCUUUUAAUUGAUGAAAUAUGAUAUAUAUAUAGCAUAGCUAUCAGU